This 69-nucleotide transfer RNA is filed under the name Marmota monax (woodchuck). RNAcentral describes it as "tRNA.Val". It matches the Rfam family "tRNA". Rfam says of the family: Transfer RNA (tRNA) molecules are approximately 80 nucleotides in length. Lineage: Eukaryota; Metazoa; Chordata; Mammalia; Rodentia; Sciuridae. The record is from RNAcentral.
GGUAUAUAGCUCAGUUGGUAGAGUGCUUGCCUCACAUGCAUAAGGUCCUGGGUUCAAUCCCCAAUACCA